GAGUUUGAUCUUGCUCAGGAUGAACGCUGGCGGCGUGCCUAAUACAUGCAAGUCGAGCGAACGGACGAGAAGCUUGCUUCUCUGAUGUUAGCGGCGGACGGGUGAGUAACACGUGGAUAACCUACCUAUAAGACUGGGAUAACUUCGGGAAACCGGAGCUAAUACCGGAUAAUAUUUUGAACCGCAUGGUUCAAAAGUAAAAGACGGUCUUGCUGUCACUUAUAGAUGGAUCCGCGCUGCAUUAGCUAGUUGGUAAGGUAACGGCUUACCAAGGCAACGAUGCAUAGCCGACCUGAGAGGGUGAUCGGCCACACUGGAACUGAGACACGGUCCAGACUCCUACGGGAGGCAGCAGUAGGGAAUCUUCCGCAAUGGGCGAAAGCCUGACGGAGCAACGCCGCGUGAGUGAUGAAGGUCUUCGGAUCGUAAAACUCUGUUAUUAGGGAAGAACAUAUGUGUAAGUAACUGUGCACAUCUUGACGGUACCUAAUCAGAAAGCCACGGCUAACUACGUG
RNAcentral lists this ribosomal RNA (515 nucleotides) under uncultured microorganism. RNAcentral's name for it is "bacterial SSU rRNA". It matches the Rfam family "Bacterial small subunit ribosomal RNA", at positions 9 to 507 of the family's 1533-position model. The record is from RNAcentral.